This 253-nucleotide ribosomal RNA is filed under the name uncultured bacterium. RNAcentral describes it as "partial 16S ribosomal RNA". It matches the Rfam family "Bacterial small subunit ribosomal RNA", at positions 524 to 776 of the family's 1533-position model. The record is from RNAcentral.
UACAGAGGUGGCAAGCGUUGUUCGGAAUUACUGGGCGUAAAGGGCGCGUAGGCGGUCUUGUAAGUCCUGUGUGAAAUCCCUCGGCUCAACUGAGGAACUGCACGGGAAACUGCUUGGCUUGAGUUCGGGAGAGGGAAGCGGAAUUCCGGGUGUAGCGGUGAAAUGCGUAGAUAUCCGGAGGAACACCGGUGGCGAAGGCGGCUUCCUGGACCGACACUGACGCUGAGGCGCGAAAGCUAGGGGAGCAAACGGG